GGACGGAAAAUUAACGUUUGUUAACUUUGUUGAUUUAAUACAUGAAUUGUCUCAUAGAUGCCACAUCAAUAAUUAAUUUUUUUAAUUAAAAAAUUAAAAAUUUAUUUAAAAAAAUUGUUAAAAUUGUUAAAAAGUAUAAAAUUAUAAAAAAAUAUUUUUAAUUUUUUUAAAAUUAAUUAAUUACUAACGUGAUAAUCCACAUAUAUGUCACCUUAACAAAGUUAAGAAACGUUAACUUUUUUUAUCUA
This 248-nucleotide microRNA precursor is filed under the name Gossypium raimondii (Peruvian cotton). RNAcentral's name for it is "miR8762c stem-loop (gra-MIR8762c)". The record is from miRBase by way of RNAcentral. Lineage: Eukaryota; Viridiplantae; Streptophyta; Magnoliopsida; Malvales; Malvaceae.